CAAUGAAAAGAAACUGAAAACACAGAUUAUGGAAGACAAAAUGAAGACAUUGAUGGAAGAAAUACAUUCUCUGAAUAAUUCUAUCAGGGACUUGAAAGAUAAAUUGAGUAUUGGAGAUGUCCAGUUUCUUAAGAGCUUCAAGGACAUUUUGGAGAGAGCCCAGAACAUGAACCAGAACCCAAACGGUUCAAGGAGGUCUUAUUGAUACUGCACAGUACCUGGGAAAUUUGA
Puntigrus tetrazona (Sumatra barb) is the source of this 231-nucleotide long non-coding RNA. RefSeq lists it as uncharacterized. The record is from RefSeq and is a predicted model, not a curated record. The transcript has 3 exons. NCBI's taxonomy places the organism in Eukaryota, Metazoa, Chordata, Actinopteri, Cypriniformes, Cyprinidae.